RNAcentral lists this ribosomal RNA (479 nucleotides) under uncultured bacterium. RNAcentral describes it as "partial 16S ribosomal RNA". It matches the Rfam family "Bacterial small subunit ribosomal RNA", at positions 28 to 523 of the family's 1533-position model. The record is from RNAcentral.
GACGAACGCUGGCGGCGUGCUUAACACAUGCAAGUCGAACGGUAAGGCCCUUCGGGGUACACGAGUGGCGAACGGGUGAGUAACACGUGGGUGAUCUGCCCUGCACUUCGGGAUAAGCCUGGGAAACUGGGUCUAAUACCGGAUAGGACCACUGCCUGCAUGGGUGGUGGUGGAAAGCUUUUUGCGGUGUGGGAGGGGCCCGCGGCCUAUCAGCUUGUUGGGGGGGUGGUGGCCUACCAGGGCGACGACGGGUAGCCGGCCUGAGAGGGUGACCGGCCACACGGGGACUGAGAUACGCCCCAGACUCCUACGGGAGGAAGCAGGGGGGAAUAUUGCACAAUGGGCGCAAGCCUGAUGCAGCGACGCCGCGGGAGGGAUGACGGCCUUCGGGUUGUAACCCUCUUUCAGCCCCGACGAAGCGAAAGUGACGGUAGGGGCAGAAGAAGGACCGGCCAACUACGUGCCAGCCGCCGCCGUAA